Long non-coding RNA from Papaver somniferum (opium poppy), 872 nucleotides. RefSeq lists it as uncharacterized. Lineage: Eukaryota; Viridiplantae; Streptophyta; Magnoliopsida; Ranunculales; Papaveraceae. The record is from RefSeq and is a predicted model, not a curated record. The transcript is spliced from 3 exons.
UUAACGCACGUUAUGCGAAUUAGAAAACCAAGAAAACUUGAAAGGAAACAACGUCAUUAAACUAUCCAUUUGAAUCGACAGAAUUUUGAAUCUCGCCUGUUACGUGAAUUUUGCAUGUUGCCUCAUAUUCCAAAACAAAUCUUUCAAUUGAUUCUUCGUUAUCCAAACUCCAAAGCGCUUCAGCAACAGUAAUAAAACUGAAAGAAAAACAAUACUCCACACACGAAAGAAGAAAAUAGAACCAGAUGAUGGUCCGGAUCUCUUGGAUUAAAGUUGAUUAUCAGAGACAAGGGCAACUGGAAAGGAUUUCUCAGCUGAACCCACAGAGAGGAGGUCAUUCCGUGAUCUUCUUGAUGUUGGUCUUCUUAGUGGUAGAUGUUUCAAAGAAAAAGAGUUAAUCGUAUUCUCACAAUCAGUAACAUUCACCAUAAAUACAUAUAAGGUGGACAGGUUGAUACAUUUGCAGAGAAUUAGUGUAGACCGAGCCUGGAAAAUACCUGACUCAUUUUAGUCAGUUUGUCGAAAAAGGAACUGUGGCUGAUGGUCUGGAAAAGUUGUACAAGGAGGUCCAUGGUGCUAUCAAAGUUGUACAAGGAGGUCCAUGGUGCCAUUCGUGCUGAUCUGAAGCGCCUUAGUGGUAUCUCUCCAAAGGCUACGAGUAUAUGCAUCAAAUUCUAUUAUUUGUUUGAGAUAGGGAGGGCAUCGAUAAAAACAAACAAAAAUGUAUGCUUUAUAUUACUGCGGUAUUUUGAUGCGUGUCGUGAGUGUAAUCAAAUUAAAUCACUUAUUUCCACACAAUUAACUGGUAAUAUAAUGGAAGCAAGGAUCGCUUCCACGAAGAGCAGGGAGUUUAGUUGUCAAAAUGGUCACAA